UACGAAGGGGGCUAGCGUUGCUCGGAAUCACUGGGCGUAAAGGGUGCGUAGGCGGGUCUUUAAGUCAGGGGUGAAAUCCUGGAGCUCAACUCCAGAACUGCCUUUGAUACUGAAGAUCUUGAGUUCGGGAGAGGUGAGUGGAACUGCGAGUGUAGAGGUGAAAUUCGUAGAUAUUCGCAAGAACACCAGUGGCGAAGGCGGCUCACUGGCCCGUAACUGACGCUGAGGCACGAAAGCGUGGGGAGCGAACCGG
Molecule: ribosomal RNA, 253 nt
Filed under: uncultured bacterium
Lineage: Bacteria
Description: partial 16S ribosomal RNA
Rfam family: Bacterial small subunit ribosomal RNA
Source: RNAcentral